UAUCCAUAGAUGGAAAACAAAAUGGUUCUCGGAAAAACCCAUUAACACUUGACAUAAGCUUUUCAUUUCUUCUCACCUCACUCGAAAGAUUCUUCCACAAAGCCUAUCAUAGUCUAACCGAACUGCACCACCACCCUGUUACUAACACCAUCACCUCUACCACCACCUUCUUCUUCUUCUUCUUCUUCUUCUUCUUCUACUACUACUAACGCAACCGUCAAUCUAAUAGUCUACCAAGUCUAGCACCAUUUACAGCCAUUUCGACAAAAUUUUUAUCAUAUUCUAUCAAUAUCUUCAUUACAAAGAUGGUGUUGCAACCCAUUUGUCUGAAGAUGAUGACAGUGAUGAAGCCGAGUGGAUCUAGGGAUUUUUCAGUCAUUCUGGACCCUGUUCAACACGUGACGAGUUGGCAUUUAACAGCUGUUACCUGUUUUAUUGAAAAAACGGAAACGGGUGGAAAAGUGAAACCGGAUGUAUUUUAAUAAUUAUAAAAAUAAAGGGUGUAUUUUUGUAAUUGCUAAUCUCACAUGAUGUAUUUUAUCAAUAUCCCCUAAUCAUGAUUGUUGAGGUUCACCAUUGAUAUCUUAUUUACCUUGAAGA
Molecule: long non-coding RNA, 600 nt
Organism: Papaver somniferum (opium poppy)
Lineage: Eukaryota; Viridiplantae; Streptophyta; Magnoliopsida; Ranunculales; Papaveraceae
Exons: 2
Source: RefSeq, a predicted model, not a curated record